Molecule: ribosomal RNA, 512 nt
Filed under: uncultured bacterium
Lineage: Bacteria
Description: bacterial SSU rRNA
Rfam family: Bacterial small subunit ribosomal RNA
Source: RNAcentral
AAAUGAAUUGACCGGAGCUCGCACAAGCGGUGGAGCAUGAGGUUUAAUUCGAGGGCACGCGAUGAACCUUACCAGGGCUUGACAUGCUAAUGAAAGUCUUUCGAAAGAUAGACCCUCCGCAAGGACAUUAGCACAGGUGCUGCAUGGUUGUCGUCAGUUCGUGGCGUGAGUUGUACCCUUAAGUGGGGUAACGAACGCAACCCCUAUCCUAUGUUAAAUAUGUCAUAGGAGACCGCCCCCUCCUAAGUUUUUGAAUCUUUCAAGAAUUUAGGAGGGGGAGGAAGGUGGGGAUGACGAUUGAUCAGCAUGGCCCUUUGACGCCCUGGGCGACACUCAUGCUACAAUGGAAAUUACAAAGGGUAGCCAAACCGUAAGGUGGAGCCAAUCCCAAAAAAAUUUCCUCAGUUCAGAUUGAGGUCUGCAACUCGACCUCAUGAAGCUGGAAUCGCUAGUAAUCGCGGGUCAGCCAUACCGCGGUGAAUAUGUUCCCGAGCUCUGUACACACCGCCCGU